Pipra filicauda (Wire-tailed manakin) is the source of this 420-nucleotide long non-coding RNA. RefSeq lists it as uncharacterized. The record is from RefSeq and is a predicted model, not a curated record. Lineage: Eukaryota; Metazoa; Chordata; Aves; Passeriformes; Pipridae. The transcript has 4 exons.
CAGGUUAUUUAAUCUCCCCGCCGUUUUAUAUUAAAGGGAUAAUGGUCACAGAGAGGAACCACUGACACUUGUCAGGCUGCUACUGUUGCCUGUUUGCUGGCACAUCAUGCUUUUACGGUGGAUACCCAGUGGUACCUGACAGAAAGAAACAAGGCAGAUUUACUGGGAUCGCUGAAAAAACCCCAUCAUUUGCAGUCCCAAAUUGCAGGACCCUGCAGGUCAGAGCCUGAGCUGGAAGGAGAACUUCAGAGAUGAGAACUCUUGUCUGCUGUUCCCACAAAGCCAAGGAUGAAACUUAGGAACUUUGAUGAUUCCUACUAGAAGAGAAAAUUGGUGUGUCAUGUCUAGUUCUCCCACUGCAAGAAGUUCACAGGACAAAUUAAGCCAUUAAACUAGAACACAAUAAAAUGCUUUGAUAUA